This 253-nucleotide ribosomal RNA is filed under the name uncultured bacterium. Its description in RNAcentral is "partial 16S ribosomal RNA". It matches the Rfam family "Bacterial small subunit ribosomal RNA", at positions 524 to 776 of the family's 1533-position model. The record is from RNAcentral.
UACAGAGGGUGCAAACGUUGUUCGGAAUUACUGGGCGUAAAGCGUGUGUAGGCGGCCACGUAAGUCGGAUGUGAAAGCCCCGGGCUCAACCCGGGAAGUGCACUCGAUACUGCGUGGCUUGAGUACUGGAGAGGUUGGUGGAAUUCUCGGUGUAGAGGUGAAAUUCGUAGAUAUCGAGAGGAACACCGGUGGCGAAGGCGGCCAACUGGACAGAUACUGACGCUGAGACACGAAAGCGUGGGGAGCAAACAGG